This 446-nucleotide ribosomal RNA is filed under the name uncultured bacterium. Its description in RNAcentral is "partial 16S ribosomal RNA". It matches the Rfam family "Bacterial small subunit ribosomal RNA", at positions 338 to 795 of the family's 1533-position model. The record is from RNAcentral.
CCUACGGGUGGCAGCAGUCGAGAAUCUUUCACAAUGGGGGAAACCCUGAUGGUGCGACGCCGCGUGGGGGAAUGAAGGUCUUCGGAUUGUAAACCCCUGUCAUGUGGGAGCAAAUUAAAAAGAUAGUACCACAAGAGGAAGAGACGGCUAACUCUGUGCAAGCAGCCGCGGGAAUACAGAGGUAUCAAGCGUUGUUCGGAAUCAAUGGGCGUAAAGCGUGCGUAGGCUGUUUCGUAAGUCGUGUGUGAAAGGCGCGGGCUCAACCCGCGGACGGCACAUGAUACUGCGAGACUAGAGUGAUGGAGGGGGAACCGGAAUGCCCGGUGUAGCAGUGAAAUGCGUAGAUAUCGAGAGGAACACUCGUGGCGAAGGCGGGUUCCUGGACAUUAACUGACGCUGAGGCACGAAGGCCAGGGGAGCGAAAGGGAUUAGAUACCCCUGUAGUC